RNAcentral lists this ribosomal RNA (427 nucleotides) under uncultured bacterium. RNAcentral describes it as "bacterial SSU rRNA". It matches the Rfam family "Bacterial small subunit ribosomal RNA", at positions 355 to 774 of the family's 1533-position model. The record is from RNAcentral.
UGGGGAAUUUUGGACAAUGGGGGAAACCCUGAUCCAGCCAUGCCGCGUGCAGGAUGAAGGUCUUCGGAUUGUAAACUGCUUUUGUCAGGGACGAAAAGGUUUCGGUUAAUACCCGAAACUGCUGACGGUACCUGAAGAAUAAGCACCGGCUAACUACGUGCCAGCAGCCGCGGUAAUACGUAGGGUGCAAGCGUUAAUCGGAAUUACUGGGCGUAAAGCGUGCGCAGGCGGUUCCGUAAGAUAGAUGUGAAAUCCCCGGGCUUAACCUGGGAAUUGCAUUUAUGACUGCGGAACUGGAGUUUAUCAGAGGGGGGUGGAAUUCCAAGUGUAGCAGUGAAAUGCGUAGAUAUUUGGAAGAACACCAAUGGCGAAGGCAGCCCCCUGGGAUACGACUGACGCUCAUGCACGAAAGCGUGGGGAGCAAACA